RNAcentral lists this ribosomal RNA (276 nucleotides) under Triticum aestivum (bread wheat). RNAcentral's name for it is "partial small subunit ribosomal RNA". The record is from RNAcentral. Lineage: Eukaryota; Viridiplantae; Streptophyta; Magnoliopsida; Poales; Poaceae.
AUGACCAAGAGAAAGAGGAACUACUAUCUGCUGCCUGACGAAGAGGACCCGGAAAGACCUGUCAAAAACUCUAUUGGAAAAGUGAUGUUUCUCACAGCGGUAGCAAGACCACGGUUUGAUGAAUAUGGGAACAUGACAUUCUCCGGAAAAAUUGGGGUAUGUCCAUUCGUGAGAGUGACUGCAGCGGCAAAAAGAAGCAAGAACAGGGAAAAAUGGACAUUGGAAACAAAGCCUGUCAUAGUGACGAGGGAUGUGAUGAGAGAGUACAUUAUAUAG